Long non-coding RNA from Salmo salar (Atlantic salmon), 2454 nucleotides. RefSeq lists it as uncharacterized. The record is from RefSeq and is a predicted model, not a curated record. Lineage: Eukaryota; Metazoa; Chordata; Actinopteri; Salmoniformes; Salmonidae.
UUGUGAUACAGUGAGUUGUAAGUGAAAUAAUCUGUCUGUAAAUAAUUGUUGGAAAAAUGACUUGUGUCAUGCACAAAGUAGAUGUCCUAAACGACUUCCCAAGACUAUAGUUUGUUUACAAGAAAUUUGUGGAGUGGUUGAAAAACAAGUUGUAAUGACUCCAACCAAGUGUAUGUAAACUUCCGACUUCAACUAUAUACCAAUGGUUUACAUCUUGUGGUAAACCCUCUGUAUUUUCUCUGGUGAAGUCUAUUCUUGAUUGUUGACUUUGACACAGAUAUGCCUACCUCCUGGAGGGUGUUCUUGAUCUGGCCAACUGUUAUGAAGGGGUUUUUCUUCACUAGGGAAAGAAUUCUGUCAUCCACCACAGUUGUUUUCUGUGGUCUUUCGGGCCUUUUGGUUUUCCUGAGCUCACCAGUGCGUUCUUUCUUUUUAAGAAUAUACCAAAUAGUUGAUUUGGCCACACUUAAUAUUCUCGCUAUCUCUCUGAUGGGUUUGUUUUGAUUUUUCAGCCUAAUGAUGGCUUGCUUCAUUGGCAGUGACAGCUCUGGACUUCAUAUUGAGGAUUAACAGCAACAGAUUUCAAAUGCAAAUGCCACACUUGAAGUCAACUCUAGACCUUUUAUCUGCUUACUUGUAAAUUAACUAAUGAGUGAAUAACACACACCUGGCUUUGGAACAGCUGAGCAGCAAAUUGUCCAAUUACUUUUGGUCCCUUAAAAAGGUGUAUGCAAAUAGAUCAUACAAGUGGUUAGGCAUUUUCAACAAACAAAAUAUUUCUUAAAAGGUCUAGAAGAGUAGUAGUCAAUUUCUCCUCAACGCUCAAACAUGAAAGACUAUAGUGCAUGUUGUUAAUGUUAGUUUUGUGUGUGCAAUUAAGGGUAAGGCGUGCUGCUUUGUUUUGAGCCAAGCUGCAGCUUUGCUAGGUCUUUCUUUGCUGCACCCAACCACUUUACCAGACAGUAAUCAAGAUGGGACAAGAUUAAAGUUGAUCUUUGUGUCAAAAAUGCAGAACAUCUUUUUAUUACAGACUAUCAUUUUAUGUGUGCUCCCCAUUUUCACAACUUUGUCUAUAUGACUUGACCAUGACAACUGACCAUCCAAUGUUACUCCUAGGAGUUUAGCUUCUUCAAUAAGUUCAAUGGUCACACCCUUUAUGCACAACUCCACUUGAGGUUUUGUUGUAAGAGUACUUUGAACCAAAUAGAAUGAUUUUGGUUUUAGAUGCAUUGAAGACCUUUUUAUUGUCAAUUGCCCAUUCUGACACUGACUGUAAAUAAGAGUCUCAGUGAGCUUACUUGCUGUAAGUGCUGAUGUGUAGUGUGCAAUCAUCAGCACAUAGUCGUUUUAGCUUCUUGUAAGACAAGUGGCAAAUCAUUUGUAAAAACAGAGAAGAGUAACAGCGCAAGGCAACUGCCCUGAGGAGUACCGCACUGUACAUAUCUGAUGUUAGAGAAGCUUCUAUUGGAUAAGUAACUCUCCAACCAUGUGAUGUCAGGUGAUGUAAGGCCCUAACAAGUGAGUUUUUUUCAAUAAAAAAUGUGGAUAAAUAACAUCAAAGGCUGCACUGAAAUCUAGCAAUACAGCUCCAACUAUCAUCUUAUUAUCCAUUUACUUUUAGCCAAUCAUCAGUCAUCUGAGUCAGUGCAGUACAAGUUGACUGCCCUUCCCUACAGUAUAUGCAUGCUGAAAGUCAGUAGUGAACUUGUUCUUUAAUAUAAAAAAUAGCAUUGCUGAUGCCAUCUUUUUCUCCCUGUGUGAUGACAUUUCCUUUUCCUGUGCAGGUGGGCUCUCCCGUCAACAUGAGUCUCCUGCUGCUCCUGCCCCAAAUACACACACACACACACACACACACACACACACACACACACACACACACACACACUAUUAUGAAUGUUCCCCUAUUUACAUGUUUGUGUGUUCUGUGUCAGAAGUGAGCGAUGGUAAGCUUUGAGAAGAGGUUGUCUGGUGUGGGAAGAGGACAUACAGAAAGGAGAAGUACCUGUGGCAGCACUCGGAGCUCCACGCCAUGAUGGCCGACUUCUUGUAUAUCCUGUUACUACGAAAAACUGUGCGACAUCUUCAUGUUUGCCCGCAAGGACUUCUCCCCCUUUGCCUCCUGCCGACCCCUGGGGGGCACCUUCAACACCUCACCUUGAGGAGAUACUGGCUGUGUCUCAAUAGUCUAGUAGCUUCCUCUCACAGGCACUUCAGUGAGGACAAUACUCUUCUGGUUAGCACUUGUCACUAGUAUGUACAGAGGCCCUCAAGAUCAUCAAAUAUGAGUUAUUUGAUGUUUUGUAUGUUAUUUUGUGCUACUGUUUUUACUGUCUACUGUUUUUGUUUAUGUGAGCUGCACUAAAACACAUUCCAAUCAAUUCUGUUGAUAUGGCAAUCACAAGAGUUAGUUAUGUCCGUUGGUGUGAAUAAAAUAAAAUGUAUUGUAUUAUGUCA